Long non-coding RNA from Arabidopsis thaliana (thale cress), 349 nucleotides. RefSeq annotates it as other RNA. Lineage: Eukaryota; Viridiplantae; Streptophyta; Magnoliopsida; Brassicales; Brassicaceae. The transcript has a single exon. The record is from RefSeq.
UCUGAAGACUUUAAAGGAGUGGUUAGUGCAAGUGAAUCCUCCAUCAAUCAUCAAAUUAUCUCCGCUUAUGUACCGCGAGUCAUCGCUAGCCAAAAACAGAACAGCGUUCGCUACAUCAUCAACCGUCAGUUCCACCCCUUUUAGAUUCGCGUUUGCAGCAGCAAAAUUCCUGAAACCAACAAAUGCAUCCUCCGUUCUUUCUUCCUCCGGCAAAUGAGCCAAAGCGAGUUUAGUUGCAACCGCGUAAGGCGAAACACAGUUCACACGUAUCCCGUGCUGUCCAAGCUCCGCUGCAACACUCCUAGUCAAGCCUAGAACAGCAUGCUUGGAACCAACAUAAGAAUGUGGA